This 368-nucleotide ribosomal RNA is filed under the name uncultured bacterium. Its description in RNAcentral is "bacterial SSU rRNA". It matches the Rfam family "Bacterial small subunit ribosomal RNA", at positions 29 to 419 of the family's 1533-position model. The record is from RNAcentral.
AACGAACGCUGGCGGCAGGCCUAACACAUGCAAGUCGAGCGCCCAGCAAUGGGAGCGGCGGACGGGUGAGUAACGCGUGGGAAUUUUUCCUUGGAGUACGGAACAACCGAGGGAAACGUUACGGCUAAUACCGUAUGAUGCCGAGAGGCCAAAGAUUUAUCGCUCUGGGGUGGAGCCCGCGUCAGAUUAGGUAGGUUGGUGGGGUAAGUGGCCUACCAAGCCUGCGAUCUGUAGCNGGUCUGAGAGGACGAUCAGCCACCACUGGGACUGAGACACGGCCCAGACUCCUACGGGAGGCAGCAGUGGGGAAUAUUGGACAAUGGACGCAAGCCUGAUCCAGCCAUGCCGCGUGGGUGAAGAAGGCCUUA